AUGAGCACCAAGAUAAUGGUAACCUACCAGAGGAAGCGUGGGACAUCGCACGCUCGGAGGGCUGAUGGCGCCACUCCGGCGGAGCCUCCUUCUGUUUCUAGCAGUGGGGUUGCCGGCAGCCAAGCCACCAAAGACCAGCCCGAUGCCGACGCUGAUGACGAUGCUCGCUCGAGUCGUGUUUUGGCGUGGUUUGAUAAGAGUGCCAACAUCACAAUAACCCACAAGAGGACGCGUGGUACAAAACUCGCUCAGACAACUGAUAGAGCAACUUUUGAGCUUGCUACUGUUUCUAGCGGUGGGCUUGCCGACAGCGAAGCCCCGGAAGACAGGGCGGACACUGAUAACGACAUGUUCAAUGGAUCUAAUCGUCAACAGGAUGCCUGCAAGCCAAAGCAAGAAAGCUCCAUAGAAGAAACAACUAAGCUAUGUGCCCAUGCAUCAAAGAAAGAACAAAAGGAAAAUCCAUAA
This 468-nucleotide ribosomal RNA is filed under the name Triticum aestivum (bread wheat). RNAcentral's name for it is "partial small subunit ribosomal RNA". Lineage: Eukaryota; Viridiplantae; Streptophyta; Magnoliopsida; Poales; Poaceae. The record is from RNAcentral.